This 253-nucleotide ribosomal RNA is filed under the name uncultured bacterium. RNAcentral describes it as "partial 16S ribosomal RNA". It matches the Rfam family "Bacterial small subunit ribosomal RNA", at positions 524 to 776 of the family's 1533-position model. The record is from RNAcentral.
UACGAAGGGGGCUAGCGUUGUUCGGAUUUACUGGGCGUAAAGCGCACGUAGGCGGAUCGUUAAGUCGGGGGUGAAAUCCUGGAGCUCAACUCCAGAACUGCCUUCGAUACUGGCGAUCUUGAGUCCGGAAGAGGUGAGUGGAACUCCUAGUGUAGAGGUGGAAUUCGUAGAUAUUAGGAAGAACACCAGUGGCGAAGGCGGCUCACUGGCCCGGUACUGACGCUGAGGUGCGAAAGCGUGGGGAGCAAACAGG